UACGUAGGGAGCAAGCGUUGUCCGGAAUCAUUGGACGUAAAGCGCGCGUAGGCGGCCCUGUAAGUCCGCUGUGAAAGUCAAAGGCUCAACCUUUGAAAGCCGGUGGAUACUGCAGGGCUAGAGUCCGGAAGAGGCGAGUGGAAUUCCUGGUGUAGCGGUGGAAUGCGCAGAUAUCAGGAGGAACACCAAUAGCGAAGGCAGCUCGCUGGGACGGUACUGACGCUAAGGCGCGAAAGCGUGGGGAGCGAACAGG
Molecule: ribosomal RNA, 253 nt
Filed under: uncultured bacterium
Lineage: Bacteria
Description: partial 16S ribosomal RNA
Rfam family: Bacterial small subunit ribosomal RNA
Source: RNAcentral